Molecule: ribosomal RNA, 465 nt
Filed under: uncultured bacterium
Lineage: Bacteria
Description: partial 16S ribosomal RNA
Rfam family: Bacterial small subunit ribosomal RNA
Source: RNAcentral
GACGAACGCUGGCGGCGUGCUUAACACAUGCAAGUCGAACGGAAAGGCCCUGCUUGCAGGGUACUCGAGUGGCGAACGGGUGAGUAACACGUGGGUGAUCUGCCCUGCACUUCGGGAUAAGCCUGGGGAACUGGGUCUAAUACCGGAUAGGAGCCAUUUUUAGUGUGAUGGUUGGAAAGUUUUUUCGGUGUAGGAUGAGCUCGCGGCCUAUCAGCUUGUUGGUGGGGUAAUGGCCUACCAAGGCGGCGACGGGUAGCCGGCCUGAGAGGGUGGACGGCCACAGUGGGACUGAGAUACGGCCCAGACUCCUACGGGAGGCAGCAGUGGGGAAUAUUGCACAAGGGGCGCAAGCCUGAUGCAGCGACGCCGCGUGGGGGAUGACGGCCUUCGGGUUGUAAACUCCUUUCGCUAGGGACGAAGCUUUUUGUGACGGUACCUAGAUAAGAAGCACCGGCUAACUACGUG